Molecule: ribosomal RNA, 565 nt
Filed under: uncultured Glomeromycotina
Lineage: Eukaryota; Fungi; Glomeromycota
Description: SSU rRNA
Rfam family: Eukaryotic small subunit ribosomal RNA
Source: RNAcentral
UUGGAGGGCAAGUCUGGUGCCAGCAGCCGCGGUAAUUCCAGCUCCAAUAGCGUAUAUUAAAGUUGUUGCAGUUAAAAAGCUCGUAGUUGAAUUUCGGGGUUAAUAAGUUGGUCGUGCCAAUGGUAUGUACUGGCUUUAUUGAUUCCUACCUCUUGAAGAACUGUGAUGCCAUUAAUUUGGUGUUGCAGGGAAUCAGGACUGUUACCUUGAAAAAAUUAGAGUGUUUAAAGCAGGCUUACGCUUGAAUACAUUAGCAUGGAAUAAUGAAAUAGGACGUUUGAACCUAUUUUGUUGGUUUCUAGGAUUGACGUAAUGAUUAAUAGGGAUAGUUGGGGGCAUUAGUAUUCAAUUGUCAGAGGUGAAAUUCUUGGAUCUAUUGAAGACUAACUACUGCGAAAGCAUUUGCCAAGGAUGUUUUCAUUAAUCAAGAACGAAAGUUAGGGGAUCGAAGACGAUCAGAUACCGUCGUAGUCUUAACCAUAAACUAUGCCGACUAGGGAUCGGAUGAUGUUAAUUUUUUAAUGACUCAUUCGGCGCCUUACGGGAAACCAAAGUGUUUGGGUUC